Molecule: ribosomal RNA, 511 nt
Filed under: uncultured Actinomycetes bacterium
Lineage: Bacteria; Bacillati; Actinomycetota; Actinomycetes
Description: bacterial SSU rRNA
Rfam family: Bacterial small subunit ribosomal RNA
Source: RNAcentral
CGCCGCGUGCGGGAAGAAGGCCUUCGGGUUGUAAACCGCUUUCAGGAGGGACGAAGCCACUCGGGUUAAUAGCCUAGACGGGUGACGGUACCUCCAGAAGAAGCCCCGGCUAACUACGUGCCAGCAGCCGCGGUAAUACGUAGGGGGCUAGCGUUGUCCGGAUUUAUUGGGCGUAAAGAGCGCGUAGGCGGCUAGGUAAGUCCGACGUGAAAUCUGGAGGCUCAACCUCCAGCGGUCGUUGGAAACUACUUGGCUAGAGACCGGAAGAGGAGUAGUGGAAUUCCUGGUGUAGCGGUGAAAUGCGCAGAUAUCAGGAAGAACACCGAUGGCGAAAGCAGCUCUCUGGGACGGUACUGACGCUGAGGCGCGAAAGCGUGGGGAGCGAACAGGAUUAGAUACCCUGGUAGUCCACGCCGUAAACGAUGGGUGCUAGGUGUGAGCGGUGUCGACUCCGCUCGUGCCGAAGCUAACGCAUUAAGCACCCCGCCUGGGGAGUACGGCCGCAAGGCUA